RNAcentral lists this ribosomal RNA (592 nucleotides) under Thelephora terrestris. RNAcentral describes it as "eukaryotic LSU rRNA". The stretch from base 179 to 333 matches the Rfam family "5.8S ribosomal RNA". The record is from RNAcentral. Lineage: Eukaryota; Fungi; Basidiomycota; Agaricomycetes; Thelephorales; Thelephoraceae.
UUGCUGGCCCUCAUAGGGGGCAUGUGCACGCUCUGUUUACACAUCCACUCACACCUGUGCACCCUCUGUAGUUCUAUGGUCUGGGGGACCCUGUCUUCCUUCUGUGGUUCUACGUCUUUACACACACACUGUAAUAAAGUUUUAUGGAAUGUACAUCGCGUCUAACGCAAUACAAUACAACUUUCAGCAACGGAUCUCUUGGCUCUCGCAUCGAUGAAGAACGCAGCGAAAUGCGAUAAGUAAUGUGAAUUGCAGAAUUCAGUGAAUCAUCGAAUCUUUGAACGCACCUUGCGCCCCUUGGCUAUUCCGAGGGGCAUGCCUGUUUGAGUAUCAUGAACACCUCAACUCUCAUGGUUUGCCAUGAUGAGUUGGACUCUGGGGGUUUUGCUGGCCUGUGGUCGGCUCCUCUCAAAUUAAUCAGCCUCCCAGUGUUUGGUGGCAUCACGGGUGUGAUAAAUAUCUACGCUCGCUGUUGUCUGCCAGUAACCUUUGGUCACAAAGGUUUGCUGGAGCUCACAGAUGUCUCUCCUCAGCGAGGACAGCUUUUUUAACGUUCGAUCUCAAAUCAGGUAGGACUACCCGCUGAACUUAA